UAAUGUAUGGGGAUCUGCCCGAUAGAGGGGGAUAACUACUGGAAACGGUGGCCAAUACCGCAUAAUGUCUACGGACCAAAGCAGGGGCUCUUCGGACCUUGCACUAUCGGAUGAACCCAUAUGGGAUUAGCUAGUAGGUGGGGUAAAGGCUCACCUAGGCGACGAUCUCUAGCUGGUCUGAGAGGAUGAUCAGCCACACUGGGACUGAGACACGGCCCAG
This 220-nucleotide ribosomal RNA is filed under the name uncultured bacterium. RNAcentral's name for it is "partial 16S ribosomal RNA". It matches the Rfam family "Bacterial small subunit ribosomal RNA", at positions 111 to 334 of the family's 1533-position model. The record is from RNAcentral.